Molecule: long non-coding RNA, 536 nt
Filed under: Marmota monax (woodchuck)
Lineage: Eukaryota; Metazoa; Chordata; Mammalia; Rodentia; Sciuridae
Source: RNAcentral
CGAGCGGGAGGAGGGUGCUCCCCCUCCAGGUGACUCACAAACAUGGAUCUGCCUAAGGCUGGUAACUGCUUUUAGAGGGAGGUGUUUUAAUGGUUUCUGCAGACGAAGAAACUGUGCCCAGGUUCACUCAGAGGGCACGGGCCAGAGUCAAGGCUAAACCGUGGGCACCCAUCAGUGGUGCCUGGCCUAACAUAUGGCGCUGGCUCGGGGUAAACCCACCGAGAUGGACGGCAGGUGGGAUCCUGAUGGUCAUCGUGCACCCGACCUGCAGGUGCCUGCACGCUGGCAUUGAAUUGCAGUACCGGAGCUCUUUCUUCCCUCACCACCGAGUGCAGACAACCACGGUCACUUCUCACGGCACAGUUCCUAACACAACUCUGCCCCGCUGCGGUACCCAGCCGAUUUCUCCAGAAAAGGCUGCCCAGGACCCUGGCGGCCGGCCCUGCCUCCUGGGUGCGGGCCGGGCAGCAACGGCUGGUCUGAGCCCGGGGGCUCCCCGCAUCACCAGACUCUGCUGUGCUCUUUCCCUGCCUUUG